UCAGGCUCGCAUGCCUCCAGAGCAGGGAAAACUCAUAGACGAAAGAUGACAUUUCAGGAAAAAAAGCUGACAUUGAGUCCGUCACUGUCAUCGCUUCUGCCAUAAAGCAGCUUCAAAUAUUAAAACAUUUUUCAUCUGUGCUGCAUUAUUGGCACCAGAAAUUGUUUUCUCUCUGUCUGGUGCGCACUUGAACUGCAGCAGCGCUCCCCGGAGACUCAGGAUUGUUACCAAGGCCUCAUAACAUAUUGGCAGUUGACGUGGUGGUGUUCGUGUACACUUGCCACUCACGCGGAGCCUCCCCUCCCCCAGCUCGCAGGCGCAAACCACAGGCUGCCCUGCGACGCUGGGCCCAUGACCUGCCCACCAGGACCUGAGAGCCUGGGGACAGCUGCUGGGCUGGAGGCUGGAUGCACGCGCCCCCCUCCCCACCUCCCGCUCCGCCCCGCCCCGGGGCUCCCAAGGUUGCAACUGGCCUUCCUCUGGCCACGCCCCGCCCUUACCCCUGUCUGGCCCCCAGGCUGCUCCUGCUCAGAUCUGGCCUUUCUCAAGCAGCCCUAAUCCCAGGAGGAUGUCACAGUCCUUCGGAGUCACAGGCUUUGGCGGCAGAGGAAGUCUUUAACACCAGUCAGGCCCUCCAGCCCUGGUGGAGGAGGUCCACAGCUCCUGCCUUGCAAAAGGAGCAUCCAGAGGCUGCUUCCUGGUGCUGGGUCUGCAGAUGAACCCGUGUGUUGGGAGCCGGUCAGGGCAGCUUGCUUCUGCGAACGUCCAGUGGGCAAGGUGAUACUGCAGGCUUCCAGCAUGCCCCUUCCCCAUCUGCUGGCGAUGCCUGGCUAAGUCCUCACAAGGUACACAGCCAAGCGGCCACUGGUUCAGAGACGAUGACCAUGCUGAAGCCACUAUGUGGUGCCGUGUGCCUAUCAUCUGACACCUUGUGGUGUGUGUCUGCCUUUCCCACCGACGCUGCCUGUUGGAGGAGAGCCUGCUGUAGAGAGGCACUGAAGUGGCAUCUCCUUGCAGUGCAGAAGACCAUCCCUUGAUGGGCAGAGCGGCCCAGAGCCACAAGGCAGACACAACCAGAUGUCUUCCAGCACACAUCCCAAGACAUCUUGUUUGAUCCUCUCUCCCAGGUCCUUGCGGUUCUGGUAAGCCUCUGGGAGCAGGGCUAUUUUAGUCAACUGGUUUCCAGGCUCCUGACCAUGAGGUUAAAGUAAGGAAGUGGGCUGAGGGCAAGACUGAACCACCUAAGACCUCUUGGACUACUGUGGUACGGGCUGUCCCCCUUUGUCUGCUCCAGGCUGGAAUCUGGUAGGACUGCCUAUCUCACAUCCACUUCAAGGACACGGAGGCCACCAGGGAGCAAAGCCUCCACUGCUCUGCAGCUCCCCACUCACCAUUCUGCUCUGGUUCUGAAGUCCCUCUGAGACUUGAGGGGUAGUUGAGUCAUCAAGAGAAGAAAAUAAGAGUUAAUAAUUAUUUCCCCCAAAAAAGGAGGUGCCAGUACCUGUAAGUGUCCUGGGUCCCUGAGAAUUUGGAUAUGACUAAUAACCACAAGGGAGGUUUGACAAAGGGAAGGAAGGAGGGGAGGCAGGCAAGCAGGGCUUGCUGGGAGUGCAUGGCGGCGUAAGUGACGGGAAAGGUUGGCUGAUUUGAUGAAAACCCCAUCAGCCUCUCUGGGGAGAUAUUACUUUCCUCAUUAUUCCACUGAUUGGCCUUAUUUCAUCUGAAGAAUGCCACACAUUCCUUAAGGCCUGGCAAGCCUCUUUAACAAUAUCCAGGAAAAAAAAAAAAAAAUCUAUCACCUCCUUAAUCGAAACAACAAGGAAAUUAACAUGAGUCAUCUUCUUCCACAGGGAUCAGUUGAAAGAUCCACCCAAGUUCCUUUCUUCUAACCCAGGUACCGGCUCCUCAACCCCCAAAAUUAUCCAACAAAUCUCUUAAAUGUUAUAUACAUAGGAUGGUCAUGGGAGGAGUUUGUUCUCCGAUAUGGCAGUGGCUGAGAGUGUUUUGUAAAUCCCAUAAGAAGAACAAAGGCUCAGCUGGGCCACCAGUACCUCUCUUUGCACAGAGGUAAAAUCCUUGUGUGACUGGACGAUUCAGGGAGAAUGCAGUAUUCCAGGACAGCUGGUCCUGAUAUAGGAGAAUCAGCGUCACUCCUCACACUACAAGGCUUUGCUUACCAGCCCAACAACAGGGAGGGAAGUACAAAACACACUUGUGAAUUUCAGACUCAGACUGGCAUUAUCAAUGGCCUGGAGCUUGCAAUAACUGUUAAUUAAGUGCAUUUUUUCAUUAUUCUUUAGCAAAGAAGUAAGAUUUAAUGAUGUAAGUUAACAAUGGAUGAUAAUUUAAAGUCGUGACAAUAGUUUAAUUAUUCGCACACAUACAAAAGUUAACUUCAUAACUUAUUUCUUUGUGAGAACAAGUUCAUUUAAAAUAUUUUGAACUGUGCAUACAAUUACCACUUAGACGCUUUCCUUCAUGGCUUUGUAGAGACAAAGAGUCAAUUCUGCCUGUAAAUUUCUCACGAGACAGUUCUACAGACUAAGAAUUCUGUCUCACACAUACACAUACCAAAAAAAGAUAAAAGAAAAGUCCCAUCAUUGAGUUUUGCUUAGAAUUUGUUGAGGACUCAAGAAAGGGAUGUGUGGUUUGGUGUUACAUGUGUGUCUUUGCGAUAGAAUGGAAACCCAACUCCCCUAAACAAGGAUGUAUGAGUGUGAGCGUGCCUGUGGUGUGUGUGUGUGUGUGUGUGUGUGUGUGUGUGUGUGUGGUGGGGGGUGAACCUUUCCUUUGUUAGCCCAUCUGAAAAGGCCUGAUUUCUAUUUCUCCAGGGUGACUAUCAAGAAUUAGAGAUGGUGUAUGUGUGGGGGUAGGCGUAGGGUGGGGUUGGUGUACAGCUUCAGCUGGAAAGAAAAGAAGGACAAAUGGAUACUGGAAUUGGAGGAUAUCCCCUUAAAUCCAAAACCUCUGGGUGGUCUGGGAUGAUAUAAUUCUAGUCUGACUGAGUACUAAAGCCACUGAAACUUACCUAGGAUAUUCAGGUGUGCCAAAGCUCCAGGGCUCUGGGAUGGAGCCAACAUCAUUGCACGGUAUUUGGCUAGGGAUGCAGCAGGACUUCCACAAUUCUUCCACUCCUCCUGAAUUGUCUGUCGUGGAAAAAUGCAGAAGUCAGCCAUGCCCAGUGACCCCGUCCAUCUCAGGUCCUCACUUGAUCUUCACUUCCUCGAGAGCCAAUAGCAGCUCCAGGGCAUUUACAGAACCCAGUGGAGGGGCACCUGGGGCAUCAUUGUCAGAUCCAAGUCUUCAUACUCUUGUCUUCAAAGGAAACAUCUCAAAACAUUGCUAGAACCAAGGAAGUAAAACUAUGGUUACAUCACCCCAGUGUCAGUGUUCAGAUGAAAAUACUGCAAUAUUAUCAGACACACAGAUAACUUUCCCAAACUACCCAAUACCGAUAUAUUGUUGAACAUGUGGUUAAUCAAAUAUAACAACUCCAUCCAGUCUCUCUUUUUGAUGAUUCACUCCUCAGUGUAAUUAUCUCACUAGACAAUUUUAUCAAUGGGGAAUUUUUUUGGCCAAAGUAAUAAUAAUCCUGCCUUUGAUAUUCAGCUGUUUACCAUGGUCUGGUGUGUCGCAUACCUACAGCUGAUGCUACUGUGUGAUGUAUAAGAUAGAGAUGUGGAAAGACCAGUUUUCUACCAUGAUUGCUUUUCACAGACAGACAUUUUAAAAAGACUAUAACACAGCAUUCAAUAUUCCUCCUGAAAAAUGAAGACCCUCUUCAAAAGAGAAAAGUUAUGCAUGAAAUUUAGCACUGUUCCUGUCCUCUUUGUAGAGUUAUAAGCAGAGGAAGGGGUGGAGGAGAACUCAUUUGAGCUGAGAGUGAAAUGCCAUUGGGGUAUCUGAAAGAAUAUUGACGACUGAGACCAUCAGACCAGAAACUUCUGGAAGGUGUUCAAUAAAGAGCAUGGGGAGAGUGGGAUGAAUGUAGAA
Molecule: long non-coding RNA, 3993 nt
Organism: Bos indicus x Bos taurus (hybrid cattle)
Lineage: Eukaryota; Metazoa; Chordata; Mammalia; Artiodactyla; Bovidae
Source: Ensembl